GAUGAAGAACGUAGCGAAAUGCGAUAAGUAAUGUGAAUUGCAGAAUUCAGUGAAUCAUCGAAUCUUUGAACGCACAUUGCGCCCGCCAGCAUUCUGGCGGGCAUGCCUGUUCGAGCGUCAUUUCAACCCUCGAGCCCCCCCGGGGGCCUCGGUGUUGGGGGACGGCACACCAGCCGCCCCCGAAAUGCAGUGGCGACCCCGCCGCAGCCUCCCCUGCGUAGUAGCACACACCUCGCACCGGAGCGCGGAGGCGGUCACGCCGUAAAACGCCCAACUUUCUUAGAGUUGACCUCGGAUCAGGUAGGAAUACCCGCUGAACUUAAGCAUAUCAAUAAGAGGA
RNAcentral lists this unclassified non-coding RNA (340 nucleotides) under soil metagenome. RNAcentral's name for it is "partial contains 5.8S ribosomal RNA, internal transcribed spacer 2, and large subunit ribosomal RNA". The stretch from base 1 to 120 matches the Rfam family "5.8S ribosomal RNA", at positions 35 to 154 of the family's 154-position model. The record is from RNAcentral.